This 492-nucleotide ribosomal RNA is filed under the name uncultured bacterium. RNAcentral's name for it is "partial 16S ribosomal RNA". It matches the Rfam family "Bacterial small subunit ribosomal RNA", at positions 29 to 507 of the family's 1533-position model. The record is from RNAcentral.
AGUGAACGCUGGCGGUAGGCCUAACACAUGCAAGUCGAACGGCAGCACAGUAAGAGCUUGCUCUUACGGGUGGCGAGUGGCGGACGGGUGAGGAAUACAUCGGAAUCUACUUUUUCGUGGGGGAUAACGUAGGGAAACUUACGCUAAUACCGCAUACGACCUACGGGUGAAAGCAGGGGAUCUUCGGACCUUGCGCGAUUGAAUGAGCCGAUGUCGGAUUAGCUAGUUGGCGGGGUAAAGGCCCACCAAGGCGACGAUCCGUAGCUGGUCUGAGAGGAUGAUCAGCCACACGGGAACUGAGACACGGUCCAGACUCCUACGGGAGGCAGCAGUGGGGAAUAUUGGACAAUGGGCGAAAGCCUGAUCCAGCCAUACCGCGUGGGUGAAGAAGGCCUUCGGGUUGUAAAGCCCUUUUGUUGGGAAAGAAGAGCAGCAGGUUAAUACCCCGCUGUUCUGACGGUACCCAAAGAAUAAGCACCGGCUAACUUCGUG